This 483-nucleotide ribosomal RNA is filed under the name Acrotylus insubricus. Its description in RNAcentral is "partial 16S ribosomal RNA". It matches the Rfam family "Bacterial large subunit ribosomal RNA", at positions 1852 to 2597 of the family's 2925-position model. The record is from RNAcentral. Lineage: Eukaryota; Metazoa; Arthropoda; Insecta; Orthoptera; Acrididae.
GUCUGACCUGCUCACUGAAUAAAUUUAAAGAGCCGCGGUAUUAUGACCGUGCGAAGGUAGCAUAAUCAUUAGUUUCUUAAUUAGAGGCUGGAAUGAAUGGUUUGACGAAAAAUUAACUGUCUCUUAAUAAAUUGUAGAAUUUAACCUUUGAGUGAAAAGGCUUAAAUUAUUUUUUAGGACGAGAAGACCCUAUAGAGCUUAACAUUUAUAAAUUUAUGUUUUUUUUUAGUUAUCUUUAAUAAUGUAUUUAGAUGUUUAGUUGGGGUGACUUGAAGAAUAAAUAAACUCUUCAUUAUCAAAUCAUUGAUUUAUGUUUAUUUGAUCCAUAAUUUAUGAUCACAAGAUUAAGUUACCUUAGGGAUAACAGCGUAAUUAUUUUUGAGAGCUCAUAUCGAUAAAGUAGAUUGCGACCUCGAUGUUGGAUUAAGAUUAAUGUUAGGUGUAGUGGCUUAAUAAUUAGGUCUGUUCGACCUUUAAAUUCUU